AAGUCGUAACAAGGUUUUCGUAGGUGAACCUGCGGAAGGAUCAUUAAAUUAAUAUUUUUUAAUCUAAUAAAAAAACUUUUUUUGAUUUGUUUUGUUUAUCACUGGAAACAACUUUUUUUUUUUCUCUCGCAACACUUGUUGAGGGGGGGAAUAUUAAGGGGGUUUUAGAGGUUUUAACAAACAAUUCCCAAUCUUUUUAUUUUUUUUUUUUUUUUUUUGGGGGCCACCUUUUUAACCAUUUAUUUAAAACAUUUAGUGCUUAUAAACACAUUCUAAAUUUAAUUUUUUAGUCUUAACUAUAAAAUAACUUUCAACAACGGAUCUCUAGGCUCUU
Molecule: unclassified non-coding RNA, 334 nt
Filed under: fungal sp.
Lineage: Eukaryota; Fungi
Description: partial internal transcribed spacer region
Rfam family: Eukaryotic small subunit ribosomal RNA (bases 1-46)
Source: RNAcentral